RNAcentral lists this ribosomal RNA (441 nucleotides) under uncultured bacterium. RNAcentral describes it as "partial 16S ribosomal RNA". It matches the Rfam family "Bacterial small subunit ribosomal RNA", at positions 338 to 795 of the family's 1533-position model. The record is from RNAcentral.
CCUACGGGCGGCAGCAGUGGGGAAUAUUGCACAAUGGGGGAAACCCUGAUGCAGCGACGCCGCGUGAGUGAAGAAGUAUUUCGGUAUGUAAAGCUCUAUCAGCAGGAACGAGACAAGACGGUACCUGACUAAAAAGCCACGGCUAACUACGUGCGAGCAGCCGCUGUAAUACGUAGGGGGCACGCGUUCUCCGGAUGCACUGGAUGUACAGGGAGAGUUGAUGGCUGUGGAAUCCUGUUGGGAAAGGCGGGGGCCAACCCCCUGGACUGGUUUGGGAACUGUACGGCUGGAGUGCAGGAGAGGUAAGUGGAAUUCCUGGUGUAGCGGUGAAAUGCGUAGAUAUUAGGAGGAACACCGAUGGCGAAGGCAGCUUACUGGACUGUAACUGACGUUGAGGCUCGAAAGCGUGGGGAGCGAACAGGAUUAGAUACCCUAGUAGUC